This 468-nucleotide ribosomal RNA is filed under the name uncultured bacterium. Its description in RNAcentral is "partial 16S ribosomal RNA". It matches the Rfam family "Bacterial small subunit ribosomal RNA", at positions 28 to 507 of the family's 1533-position model. The record is from RNAcentral.
GACGAACGCUGGCGGCGUGCUUAACACAUGCAAGUCGAACGGAAAGGCCCUGCUUUUGUGGGGUGCUCGAGUGGCGAACGGGUGAGUAACACGUGAGUAACCUGCCCUUGACUUUGGGAUAACUUCAGGAAACUGGGGCUAAUACCGGAUAGGAGCUCCUGCUGCAUGGUGGGGGUUGGAAAGUUUCGGCGGUUGGGGAUGGACGCGCGGCUUAUCAGCUUGUUGGUGGGGUAGUGACUUACCAAGGCUUUGACGGGUAGCCGGCCUGAGAGGGUGACCGGCCACAUUGGGACUGAGAUACGGCCCAGACUCCUACGGGAGGCAGCAGUGGGGAAUAUUGCACAAUGGGCGGAAACCUGAUGCAGCAACGCCGCGUGCGGGAUGACGGCCUUCGGGUUGUAAACCGCUUUCGCCUGUGACGAAGCGUGAGUGACGGUAAUGGGUAAAGAAGCACCGGCUAACUACGUG